RNAcentral lists this ribosomal RNA (253 nucleotides) under uncultured bacterium. RNAcentral's name for it is "partial 16S ribosomal RNA". It matches the Rfam family "Bacterial small subunit ribosomal RNA", at positions 524 to 776 of the family's 1533-position model. The record is from RNAcentral.
UACGGAGGGUGCGAACGUUGCUCGGAAUCAUUGGGCGUAAAGCGCACGUAGGCGGCGGCGUAAGCGGGAUGUGAAAGCCCCGGGCUCAACCUGGGAACUGCGUCCGAUACUGGAUGGCUUGAAUCCGGGAGAGGGAUGCAGAAUUCCAGGUGUAGCGGUGAAAUGCGUAGAUAUCUGGAGGAAUACCGGUGGCGAAGGCGGCAUCCUGGACCGGCAUUGACGCUGAGGAGCGAAAGCCAGGGGAGCAAACGGG